GAUGAAGAACGUAGCGAAAUGCGAUAAGUAAUGUGAAUUGCAGAAUUCAGUGAAUCAUCGAAUCUUUGAACGCACAUUGCGCCCGCCAGCACUCUGGCGGGCAUGCCUGUCCGAGCGUCAUUUCAACCCUCGCGCCGUCCCUCCAGGGGGCUCGGCGCGGUGUUGGGGGACACGGCCCCGGCCGCCCCCGAAAUGCAGUGGCGACCCCACCGCGGCCCCUCCAGCGCAGUAAGCACGCUCGCUACGGGAGGCCCGGUGGACGCGUCCGCCGUAAAACGCCCAACUCUUCAGAAGUUGACCUCGGAUCAGGUAGGGAUACCCGCUGAACUUAAGCAUAUCAAUAAGCGGAGGA
Molecule: unclassified non-coding RNA, 352 nt
Filed under: soil metagenome
Description: partial contains 5.8S ribosomal RNA, internal transcribed spacer 2, and large subunit ribosomal RNA
Rfam family: 5.8S ribosomal RNA (bases 1-120)
Source: RNAcentral